UGAGUACGAGAUGCUACGGCAUCGAAGCAGUCUAUGUCAUACUUCCAAGAAAAGCUUGCACUGUCAUAAACAAAGAAUGCCUGUACCAUAACCGACACAGGUGGGUAGGUAGAGUAUACUAAGGGGCGCGAGAUAACUCUCUCUAAGGAACUCGGCAAAAUGACUCCGUAACUUCGGGAGAAGGAGUGCCUUAUUUCUAAGGUUGCAAUAACAAGAUCCAAGCAACUGUUUACCAAAAACACAGGUCUCCGCUAAGUCGUAAGACGAUGUAUGGGGGCUGACGCCUGCCCAGUGCCAGAAGGUUAAAGAAGUUGGUUAGCAUUAGCGAAGCUGAUAACUGAAGCCCUGGUGAACGGCGGCCGUAACAAUAACGGUCCUAAGGUAGCGAAAUUCCUUGUCGGGUAAGUUCCGACCCGCACGAAAGGCGUAAUGAUUUGGAUACUGUCUCGGAGAGGGGCUCGGUGAAAUAGACUUGUCUGUGAAGAUGCGGACUACCUGCACCUGGACAGAAAGACCCUAUGAAGCUUUACUGUAACUUAGAUUGAAAUUGGACUUUAUUUGCGCAGUAUAGGUGGGAGGCGUUGAGAAUAAUCUUGCGGGAUUGUUGGAGCCAUCAGUGAGAUACCACUCUUGUAAUGUUAGAUUUCUAACUUUGUAUCAUUAUCUGGUCAAAGAACAGUUUCAGGCGGGCAGUUUGACUGGGGCGGUCGCCUCCCAAAGGGUAACGGAGGCGCACAAAGGUUUCCUCUGAACGGGCAGAAAUCGUAUCUAGAGUGUAAAGGCAUAAGGAAGCUUGACUGUGAGACCUACAAGUCGAGCAGGGACGAAAGUCGGUCUUAGUGAUCUGACGGUGCUGAGUGGAAAGGCCGUCACUCAACGGAUAAAAGUUACUCUAGGAUAACAGGCUGAUCUCCCCCAAGAGUUCACAUCGACGGGGAGGUUUGGCACCUCGAUGUCGGCUCAUCGCAUCCUGGGGCGGUAGUCCGUCCCAAGGGUUGGGCUGUUCGCCCAUGAAGGCGGUACGCGAGCUGGGUUCAGAACGUCGUGAGACAGUUCGGUCCAUAUCCGGUGUAGGCGUUAGAAUAUUGAGAGGAGCCUUCUCUAGUACGAGAGGACCGAGAAGGACAUACCUCUGGUGUACCAGUUAUCGUGCCAACGGUAAACGCUGGGUAGCUAUGCAUGGAGUGGAUAACCGCUGAAAGCAUCUAAGUGGGAAGCCCACCUCAAGAUAAGUAUUCUCAC
RNAcentral lists this ribosomal RNA (1242 nucleotides) under metagenome. RNAcentral's name for it is "bacterial LSU rRNA". It matches the Rfam family "Bacterial large subunit ribosomal RNA", at positions 1564 to 2817 of the family's 2925-position model. The record is from RNAcentral.